CAAGAACGGACUAAUUCACACUAAAGUUUGCCUACAGAUCUGGAAGCCUUGCUGAAAAGACACCUUAAUGGCCUAGCAGCUCUCUUAGGCAAGGAGCAAUUCAGAUGUUGAAUGAUGGAACACAAAAACCCACAGCAGACAUGGUGGCUGACGCUUGUAAUCCCAGCAUUUUGCGAGGUUGAGGUAGGGGGACUGCUUGAGCUCAGAAGUUUAAGACCAGCCUAGGUAACAUAGUGAGACCCCAUCCCUACAAAAAAUCAAAAAAUUAGCUGGGCAUGGUGGUGCACAUCUGUAGUCCCAGCUUCCUGGAAGGCCGAGGCAGGAGGAUCUCUUGAGCCCAGCAGGUCAAGCCUGUGGUGAGUUGUAAUUGUGCCACUGCACUCCAACCUGGGUGACA
RNAcentral lists this long non-coding RNA (397 nucleotides) under Pan troglodytes (chimpanzee). RNAcentral describes it as "long non-coding RNA NONPTRT000265". The record is from RNAcentral. Lineage: Eukaryota; Metazoa; Chordata; Mammalia; Primates; Hominidae.